This is a long non-coding RNA of Pygocentrus nattereri (red-bellied piranha), 1040 nucleotides long. The record is from Ensembl. NCBI's taxonomy places the organism in Eukaryota, Metazoa, Chordata, Actinopteri, Characiformes, Serrasalmidae.
CCUGUCUCGGCACCCUAUCAUCUGCCUUCUCUAGAUCCACAAAGACACAAUGUAGCUCCUUCUGACCUUCUCUGUACUUCUCUACCAACACUCUCAACACAAAAAUUGCAUCUGUGGUACUCUUUCUGGGCAUGAAACCAAACUGCUGCUCACUGAUCUGAACCUCUCGCCUUAGCCUUGCUUCAACAACUCUUUCCCAUACCUUCAUGGUGUGGCUCAUCAACUUUAUACCUCUGUAGUUACUGCAGCUCUGCACAUCAUCCUUGUUCUUAAAAAUGGGGACCAGUACACUGCUUCUCCACUCAUCAGGCAUCCUCUCACUCUCCAGGAUUUUGUUAAACAACCUGGUUAAAAAGUCCACUGCCUUCUCUCCUGAACAUCUCCAUACCUCCACAGAGCCGCAUCUUUAUCAAAACGUCGGUGUGUAAAUAACCGCACCCGCAGUUUGGAGCAGAACCGCCGAUACGCGCUGAAAAAACUCCCGGACCCUCGGCUGGCGCACGUGACGUCACCGGACCCGGACACCGGACUGCGUGUGUGUUUUGGAGUUCAAGGAAGUGAAUCAGUGGCCGCCGCCGAUUUGUUUAGCACCGAUAAUCCAAAUAUUUAUCGUAGUGAUGUUGCUUUUAUUAACUCACCAUAUAAAACACAUUCACAAAAGCAGGUGGUCGCGAGCCCGGGUGUGCAAAAACGGUCAUUGGUAAACUGGGACUUUUAUUUUGAAGUAAACAAUAAUCACCGUUAGCGAUAUUUUCCCUUUCAUGUUUUAACUUUCUUUUUUAAUCAAAACGAGCUAACGAAAGAGAAAUCUAUAUAUUUUUCAGUGACUGUUAAACAGGGAAUCACAAAGCGACUCUAAACCAAUAAAGGACAGUUUUAAAUAACACCGCCGAUAUUUUGAAGCGCUGAAAAAUCCUCCCGGGCGCUGGCGGAGGUGACGUCCCUGCGCGGAGUGUUUCGGAGCUCCAUGGAGGAAAAUCCUUCCCUUCCUUCAUGAUAAACUUCGUCACCGCUCCACCUGCAGCGCGCCUUCAGCUCCA